UAGUAGAAGGUUCACUUGGCAAAUUUGUUAAUGAAAAGAAAACUCAACUGCUCAAAGAUAAAGGUUGUUGCAGGUUGUACUGACAAAGGGGUGACAGCACUUCAACAAGUCUGUUCUUUUUCCAACAAGAAGACGAACGUAAAAUUAUCAAUGAUGGAGUAUCUUCAGUGGCAGGUUAUUAAUCUCUUUCAUUUCACCUUAUGCUACUUUUAAAAUCCCCUUCUCUUCUUUUUUUUUUUCCAAUUGCAUCCUAGUUAUAUUGCAGGUAAUUUGUUUUCUCUGAUAUUUGUUCCAUUUUGGGUUUGAGCAAAGUAACUUGCUUUUUCAGAAGACAAAGUGAUUAAUGAUAUGUAUGAAUUGACUCUGUCAUUAACCUUAUAACCAUUGUUAGCAUUGGACUCGUGUUUCUUUAAAUUUGAUUGAUUUGGUGUAUUUUUUAAUUCUUUAGGCUAUUUGUGUUUCCAGAAACAGAAAUAAAGUAUUUUAUCUCUACAAAGGUAAAAUCAAAGUACAACUAUCAAGGACAUGAACAUAUAUAUAAUUAUAUAUCAUCAUUUAAUUUCCAUGUUUGAAAGAGGAAAAGUACUAAAUUGCACAUUCUAGCUAGUAAGCUUCAUCCCUUUAGUGAAGCGUUGAACAGAUAGAUAUAUGCUACAUAGGAUAAAGUACCUAAUCAUUGAACUUCAAAUAUAUUUCUACAACGUUGCAAUAAUUGAAUAAAAAAUAGAAUUCAUUUUAUGACACAACAUAUAUUUCUACAACUUUGAAAAUAAUAUCAAUCCUUGUGUAAGAGUGAAAAAGAAUGAAAGCUGGUUAGAUAAUAAACCUGAAUUCAAUUUAAUCAUGCAUGUAUAUAGUAUAUAUUUGUUCAAACUUUGAAGUUAAAAGUUUCUUUAAUCAAUCAAGUAAAAAUUGCUAAGACUACUACAAAAAUAAGAAUAGAACUAUAUUUGAACUAAAUAGUUUUAAGUGAAAAAUUAGACCUUACACUUUUUAGACACUCAUUUUGUAUAUAUAUAUAAAGAUGGAGCACAUACAAAGUCCACUAUUGGAAGACUUUCUAGGACAAUCAUUGUUUCUUGAUUUUGGAAAUGGAUCUGCCAGAAAUUCUGACAUAGAAAUUAUUAGCAGUCAAGAGGAACUGAAAUUCUAUUAUCAGAGGAUCAUGGAAUUCUUUGGAAGCAUCAAGACUGGAAAAUUGGCUUAGCAAAAGUUCGAAGGUCUAGAAAGCUUUCAGUGUCGUUUCUAUGCACGGUGGCUAACUAUGAGUAUGCAUUUUUUUGGCAUUUUUAUCAG
This is a non-coding RNA of Arachis ipaensis, 1296 nucleotides long. The record is from RefSeq and is a predicted model, not a curated record. Lineage: Eukaryota; Viridiplantae; Streptophyta; Magnoliopsida; Fabales; Fabaceae.